Long non-coding RNA from Macrosteles quadrilineatus (aster leafhopper), 569 nucleotides. RefSeq lists it as uncharacterized. The transcript is spliced from 2 exons. The record is from RefSeq and is a predicted model, not a curated record. NCBI's taxonomy places the organism in Eukaryota, Metazoa, Arthropoda, Insecta, Hemiptera, Cicadellidae.
GUCUCCAGCAGACCGUCUGGUCUGGCGUCUGGCACUUGUCUUAUAGUGUAUGGGACUGUCUGCAGACCGAUUUUCUCGGACCAGACUGUCUGCGUGUCUGAUGGUUGAACCCUCAGACCACAGACGGUCUGAGGUUCCCCCACCACUAUUUUUGUCUGGUCUGUGAGUGUGUAGCGCUGUCUGUCAGACGACCGAUCGUCUCGUCGCUACAGUAUUCAUCCAUUUGUUAGAGUUCUCACCACGGUCUCUCAAUUACGAAUGUUAGACCGUCUGGUCUGGGAGUGUGUAGAGCCGUCCAAGACGGUCUGGUUGCAGCCAGACGGUCUGGUCUGGAGGUCUGGUCUGGUAGUGUGUGGGGGGCUUUAUCUAAUAACCUCAAACAAAACGUAAUCGUAAUCAUUCAUUAUCCCUCCUCCACAUAAAUUCUGAACCUUCAGUUUAGUUCAAACAGUUUUGUGAUAUUCUUACAGAAUGAGUACAGCUCACUAGCUCAAUUUUAAAGCAUGAAGAUCCGGUUGUUGCAGUCACUGAUUAUGCCACUAACCACACACUAACAAGUUGGACUGAGG